AACACCUCAAAGCUUUUGGAUUUUUUAAUCGAAAAGCUUUGGACUUGAGCAAUCCCAACACCAAUCUUUUUGAGAUCGGUGGCGGGUUGCUUGAAAUGCAGGUGCAGCUGGACAUUCUCCUGAGCUAAAAGCAUAUUCAUUUAGUCCCGUCAAACGGAUUAUUACUUUUGCUGCAGCUAACAUAAAGGGAGUUUGACCGUAUUGGCUGACUGAUGCAGGAUUUCACAAGGGUCGGCAACGAUUCUUGUUAA
Molecule: unclassified non-coding RNA, 251 nt
Filed under: Linnemannia elongata
Lineage: Eukaryota; Fungi; Mortierellomycota; Mortierellomycetes; Mortierellales; Mortierellaceae
Also listed under: 6 other names
Description: partial internal transcribed spacer 2
Source: RNAcentral